RNAcentral lists this long non-coding RNA (365 nucleotides) under Helianthus annuus (common sunflower). RNAcentral's name for it is "hypothetical non coding rna". The record is from RNAcentral. Lineage: Eukaryota; Viridiplantae; Streptophyta; Magnoliopsida; Asterales; Asteraceae.
AUGUGUGGUUGGGGAGUUUGUAUUGUUCACCCAUGAUGAUGUUGUCUUUGUACAAGAAGCAGAUGUCAAACCAUGGUGGGAGAUUAUCUAUAUUGAAGAUUUGAUGGUAGCAAACCUAAUGUCAAAGCAUGUCACUCUUCUGCAAAUGAAAAAGAAACAGAGUUAAUUAACAAUGACCGAUCCUUGAGUUAGCGCACAUCAAUAAUGUUUAUCACAAGAAACAUUUUCCGGUGUUAAGUUGCUGAAUGUUGCUCAUUUCCUGUACCCUCAAUUUCUUUAUACAAUACACAAUAGAUAGCUUGAAUUUUAUGGAUUUUCACACCACACAAAUCAUUUAAAUAGUUGAGCGAUGGCAGUUUGAUACC